RNAcentral lists this ribosomal RNA (437 nucleotides) under uncultured Oscillospiraceae bacterium. Its description in RNAcentral is "partial 16S ribosomal RNA". It matches the Rfam family "Bacterial small subunit ribosomal RNA", at positions 341 to 792 of the family's 1533-position model. The record is from RNAcentral. Lineage: Bacteria; Bacillati; Bacillota; Clostridia; Eubacteriales; Oscillospiraceae.
ACGGAAGGCAGCAGUGGGGAAUAUUGGGCAAUGGGCGAAAGCCUGACCCAGCAACGCCGCGUGAAGGAAGAAGGUCUUCGGAUUGUAAACUUCUUUUAUGAGGGACGAAGGAAGUGACGGUACCUCAUGAAUAAGCCACGGCUAACUACGUGCCAGCAGCCGCGGUAAUACGUAGGUGGCAAGCGUUAUCCGGAUUUACUGGGUGUAAAGGGCGCGUAGGCGGGGAUGCAAGUCAGAUGUGAAAUCUAUGGGCUUAACUCAUAAACUGCAUUUGAAACUGUAUCUCUUGAGUGCUGGAGAGGUAGAUGGAAUUCCUUGUGUAGCGGUGAAAUGCGUAGAUAUAAGGAAGAACACCAGUGGCGAAGGCGAUCUACGGGACAGUAACUGACGCUGAGGCGCGAAAGCGUGGGGAGCAAACAGGAUUAGAUACCCUGGUA